Molecule: non-coding RNA, 269 nt
Organism: Pelobates cultripes (western spadefoot toad)
Lineage: Eukaryota; Metazoa; Chordata; Amphibia; Anura; Pelobatidae
Source: the annotation of a GenBank genome assembly
GUCAGUGUCCUUAAAGCGGGUGUGUUACGCUAACAGUGGAUACGGUGCCCAGUGCCACCACUCACUGGUGUCACAAUAGCUUGCAUUUAAAAACAAAAAACUUAUUUCACUGUUAUAGAUUGAAUAGCAGUCAGUGUCCUUAAAGCGGGUGUGUCAGGCUCACAGUGGAUACGGUGCCCAUUUGCCCAGUCAGUGCCACCACUCACUCAUAUCUGGUGUCACAAUAGCUUGCAUUUAAAAACAAAAAACUUUUUUCACUGUUAUAGAUU